Molecule: long non-coding RNA, 1133 nt
Filed under: Equus caballus (horse)
Lineage: Eukaryota; Metazoa; Chordata; Mammalia; Perissodactyla; Equidae
Description: lncRNA (ENSECAG00000047454.1)
Source: RNAcentral
GCUGAGUGCCUCGAAGGACACACACACCUAGCCCCCUCCUGGGCUGAAGGCCCUGCAGCACUUGGCUCUGGCUGCAGCCUUCUCAGCCGGCCUCCACCCUCAGCUCCUCUCCUCUCUCAGGAGGACUCUCCUGACUUCACUAUGACCGACGCUGAGCUCUGAAUGCACCCAGCCAACCAGGGCCCUGGUCCUCUAGGAGCAACACAGAGCCAAUCCCAGGCCUCAGGAAGCCAUCCCACAUUUAUGCCACGGUCACAGCUGGGAACGAUGUCACUUCGGCUGAGUAAAGCCUCCAGCGACUGCACCUUCCUCUCGGAAUCCUCCAAGGACUUCUCCCCUCGGACCUCAUACAUACGUGGACAGGUUAAAAUCACCGUGGAUCCACACAAUGGGCCUCACAGGCUUCAAAUGACCACACGUGGUUUCUCUGGAAACAGCAGCGCCUGGAGCGAGCGCUCUGAAGAGGCAGCCGCUGGCCCACCUGCACUCACAGCCACAUCCCUGGCUGCACCCAGUUCCAGGAGCAACUCGCAAGACAUUAGGUCCAAAACAGUGAAGAGUGAUCAACCAACCGCCAGAUGUUUUGUCCACUCGACACCAACAACUGAAAGCUUGGAACCACGCAGAGGACAAGUGAAUUUCCACUUUCUGGUAUUGACUCUGAGAUAACCCAGCUAAUCCAUGCGGCCAGGAAACCAUCCUUGAAUGAAGACAAUGAAUAUGACACUCUCACCACUAGGAGUGAACACCGAAGUGGCAAGGAAGAAGAGUAUGUAUGACAAAUGCCAUGUGUCAACUCCAGGAGAUGGGAAAACAAACUAGCAAGUUCAUGAACUGCAUUUCUGCAUUCUACUCUUUUACCAAAACUCUCUUUUCAUUUGGGUAUUAUAAAACUUUAAUUGAACAAUUAAAUUGAGAAGUAAAAAUAUAAACAGAAGAACAGUUCUAGAAAGUGCUAGGGGUCUUCCCUACUGGGGAUAUUAGCAGGCCUCCAACCCCCACCUGCACCCAUUUCAAGGCCCCUUUCAUUAAUAUGCAACUGUGAAAAUCCAAAACAGAUAUUAGGGAAGAACAAAAUUAAGUUUUGCAUGAGCCUCUCGGCUGACAAUGACCCAAGGACUGUGUGAUGCCCC